RNAcentral lists this ribosomal RNA (336 nucleotides) under uncultured bacterium. Its description in RNAcentral is "bacterial SSU rRNA". It matches the Rfam family "Bacterial small subunit ribosomal RNA", at positions 9 to 355 of the family's 1533-position model. The record is from RNAcentral.
GAGUUUNGAUCCAUGGCUCAAGAACGAACGNGGGCGGCAGGCUUAACACAUGCAAGUCGAGCGAGGACUUCGNUUCUAGCGGCGGACGGGUGAGUAACGCGUGGGAACGUGCCCUUUGCUACGGAAUAGUCCCGGGAAACUGGGUUUAAUACCGUAUGUGCCCUUUGACCUUGGUGGUCUUGGGGGAAAGAUUUAUCGGCAAAGGAUCGGCCCGCGUUGGAUUAGGUAGUUGGUGGGGUAAUGGCUCACCAAGCCGACGAUCCAUAGCUGGUUUGAGAGGAUGAUCAGCCACACUGGGACUGAGACACGGCCCAGACUCCUACGGGGGGCAGCAGA